Molecule: ribosomal RNA, 559 nt
Filed under: uncultured fungus
Lineage: Eukaryota; Fungi
Description: eukaryotic LSU rRNA
Rfam family: 5.8S ribosomal RNA (bases 201-354)
Source: RNAcentral
AAGUCGUAACAAGGUCUCCGUUGGUGAACCAGCGGAGGGAUCAUUACAGAGUCUACGCACUCCCAAACCUUUGUGAACAUACCUACGUUGCUUCGGCGGUCGUGCCUGGAGCGCCCCCGUGGCGUUCCCGGGUCCGCCGCCGAGGACCUAUAUUCUUGAAUUUAUAACGGAUUUCUGAGUAACAAAACAAAAUAAAUAAAAACUUUCAGCAACGGAUCUCUUGGCUCUGGCAUCGAUGAAGAACGCAGCGAAAUGCGAUAAGUAAUGUGAAUUGCAGAAUUCAGUGAACCAUCGAAUCUUUGAACGCACAUUGCGCCCACCAGUACUCUGGUGGGCAUGCCUGUCCGAGCGUCAUUUCAACCCUCAGGGCCCGUCCGCGGGACCUGGUGUUGGGGAUCGGCCCCUACCGGCCGGCCCCGAAAUACAGUGGCGGCACACCCGCGACCUCCUCUGCGUAGUAAUUACACCUCGCACCGGAUAGACACGAAGUCCACGCCGUAAAACAACCCAAUUUCUGAAUGUUGACCUCGGAUCAGGUAGGAAUACCCGCUGAACUUAA